UGCUAUGCCAACAUAUUGCCAUC
Molecule: microRNA, 23 nt
Filed under: Sarcophilus harrisii (Tasmanian devil)
Lineage: Eukaryota; Metazoa; Chordata; Mammalia; Dasyuromorphia; Dasyuridae
Also listed under: 15 other names
Description: Sha-Mir-31_3p* (star (passenger))
Source: RNAcentral